UACGUAGGGUGCAAGCGUUAAUCGGAAUUACUGGGCGUAAAGCGUGCGCAGGCGGUUGUGCAAGACAGAUGUGAAAUCCCCGGGCUUAACCUGGGAAUUGCAUUUGUGACUGCACGGCUAGAGUGUGUCAGAGGGGGGUAGAAUUCCACGUGUAGCAGUGAAAUGCGUAGAUAUGUGGAGGAAUACCGAUGGCGAAGGCAGCCCCCGGGGAUAACACUGACGCUCAUGCACGAAAGCGUGGGGAGCAAACAGG
This 253-nucleotide ribosomal RNA is filed under the name uncultured bacterium. Its description in RNAcentral is "partial 16S ribosomal RNA". It matches the Rfam family "Bacterial small subunit ribosomal RNA", at positions 524 to 776 of the family's 1533-position model. The record is from RNAcentral.